Pelobates cultripes (western spadefoot toad) is the source of this 828-nucleotide non-coding RNA. The record is from the annotation of a GenBank genome assembly. Lineage: Eukaryota; Metazoa; Chordata; Amphibia; Anura; Pelobatidae.
GUCGAGAUUCGUGAAUUCAAUGUGAAUUUCAUAUAUGAGGCCUAAAUAGCCAAGUGGAAGGAUUGCUGACAUUGAAUUUUUUUUAGCUUGGCCUUUAAUGUGAAAUUCUUUUAGAAUUUUCAACAAUUCUCCCUUUAGUGAAUGUUAAGACACUCCCGGCAUAAAUGAGUGAAACCCUCGUUUAGUAGAUCAUCACCCUUUAGAGACACAGGUACUGUUGCUGUAGACCGCCAAACUCCCGAAUGGAAUAUAAGGGAAUGCUCCAAACUCCCGAACAGAGAAUCAUACGAACUCCUCCUCUCCUGGAACCGGCGAAAGAAUAUUCCAAAGUAGCAAUCCCCCCCAAACACGAGACCAAGCUCCGUCUUGAGGGUAAAACAGGAAUCUGCUUUAAUGAGGGCUACCUGACCGGUAUUUAUGCAGGUCUCCCACCUGGUGGACACUCCCCUAGGGGACCAGAUGGAAGACUGGGACAAGUAUGAUACAUUAGCCGCUCAGACAUAAACCAUCCCCUUUGUACAAGCAACCCCUCCUCGCUAUCCUGAAGAUAAUUGAGAAGAAAUCCAAUUAUCUCCAUGGAUAGAGGCAAAACGCCAUAUUAAAUAAUACAGUAAAAAUACAUAAAAUUCCAUAACUUCAAAACUACCGAAUGCAUUCCACACAUAUAACGUAUCCCCAGAUAGCCUAGAUCUGAGCGCACAUUAUUACCAAAUGGCGCUCAGAUCCAAUACACACAGUUCAAUCGCCAUGGAGCCAAAGUCUUUCACAGUGUUCUUACGGUAUAUGAAGGGCUCCAUGGGAUGGCUAUCUGGGUUAAGUCUAUUCGUG